UUUUUUGAAACAUUUUCGGUUGUUUUGGAAGAUGAGGAGGGAAUUGUUAGAGCGGACAUUCUCUUUAGAAGAGCAAAAUUCAAAUAUAGCAUUGAACAAGUAGGCGUAACGGUCUUCGACUGUGAGAUGCAAACUAUGGACGGCGGCUUGAUGUAG
This 156-nucleotide ribosomal RNA is filed under the name Triticum aestivum (bread wheat). Its description in RNAcentral is "partial small subunit ribosomal RNA". Lineage: Eukaryota; Viridiplantae; Streptophyta; Magnoliopsida; Poales; Poaceae. The record is from RNAcentral.